This 663-nucleotide ribosomal RNA is filed under the name Salmonella enterica subsp. enterica serovar Enteritidis. RNAcentral describes it as "bacterial SSU rRNA". It matches the Rfam family "Bacterial small subunit ribosomal RNA", at positions 859 to 1522 of the family's 1533-position model. Lineage: Bacteria; Pseudomonadati; Pseudomonadota; Gammaproteobacteria; Enterobacterales; Enterobacteriaceae. The record is from RNAcentral.
GUUAAGUAGACCGCCUGGGGAGUACGGCCGCAAGGUUAAAACUCAAAUGAAUUGACGGGGGCCCGCACAAGCGGUGGAGCAUGUGGUUUAAUUCGAUGCAACGCGAAGAACCUUACCUGGUCUUGACAUCCACAGAAGAAUCCAGAGAUGGAUUUGUGCCUUCGGGAACUGUGAGACAGGUGCUGCAUGGCUGUCGUCAGCUCGUGUUGUGAAAUGUUGGGUUAAGUCCCGCAACGAGCGCAACCCUUAUCCUUUGUUGCCAGCGGUUAGGCCGGGAACUCAAAGGAGACUGCCAGUGAUAAACUGGAGGAAGGUGGGGAUGACGUCAAGUCAUCAUGGCCCUUACGACCAGGGCUACACACGUGCUACAAUGGCGCAUACAAAGAGAAGCGACCUCGCGAGAGCAAGCGGACCUCAUAAAGUGCGUCGUAGUCCGGAUUGGAGUCUGCAACUCGACUCCAUGAAGUCGGAAUCGCUAGUAAUCGUGGAUCAGAAUGCCACGGUGAAUACGUUCCCGGGCCUUGUACACACCGCCCGUCACACCAUGGGAGUGGGUUGCAAAAGAAGUAGGUAGCUUAACCUUCGGGAGGGCGCUUACCACUUUGUGAUUCAUGACUGGGGUGAAGUCGUAACAAGGUAACCGUAGGGGAACCUGCGGUUGGA